GAUCCCUGCCUACUUGAGGCUUUCCAAAGCAUUACAACCACCAAGAACAAUCAUACACGCUCAGGCAGAGGCGAUGAAGAUAAUGGACAGACCACAGGACUCAUUCUUCUAUCAAAGGCUGAAUAGACUAUUGCAGUCUCUGCUAUACUGUGCACGAUGAAGAGGCCAGCCAAACUUCCACACUUAGGCUGAACAGUCCCAGCUCUCACUGCCUCUCCUCAUGGAAGAGGUGCUCCAGUUUCUUUGUCAUCUUUGUUCCCACUUUCACUGAACUCUUUUUCCAAUACAUC
Long non-coding RNA from Lagopus leucura (white-tailed ptarmigan), 290 nucleotides. RefSeq lists it as uncharacterized. The transcript has 3 exons. The record is from RefSeq and is a predicted model, not a curated record. Lineage: Eukaryota; Metazoa; Chordata; Aves; Galliformes; Phasianidae.